Molecule: long non-coding RNA, 367 nt
Filed under: Vigna radiata
Lineage: Eukaryota; Viridiplantae; Streptophyta; Magnoliopsida; Fabales; Fabaceae
Description: long non-coding RNA (VRAD_LNC000378)
Source: RNAcentral
GGGGGAAUGGGGGAGGAGUUGAAUAAUGUUUAUAAAUCUUUUCACAAAUUAACAUUUAGUAACUAUUGUAGGGGUUAGACGGUUUGCAAUAGGUGUCAGACGUUUGUGUUUUAAGGCAAGCGUUUACAAAAACGUUUUAAGCAAAGAAAGCAAUAAUACAGGUAUUUUAUACUAGUUCACUCAAUCCCGAGCUAUGUCUAGUUUCCCUCAAGAACUCUUGAAAAGUUCCACUAAUCUUAUGCAAGAUUACAACCGAGUACAAACCACUUAUGGUAUACAUCGAAUAUUUUAACCACUCCUGGUCGCUCUAGUCAAUCCUGACUAGUCCGAGUUUAACCACUCCUAGUAUCCAAGUAUUCAAACCACU